This is a long non-coding RNA of Xiphias gladius (swordfish), 601 nucleotides long. RefSeq lists it as uncharacterized. The transcript has 4 exons. NCBI's taxonomy places the organism in Eukaryota, Metazoa, Chordata, Actinopteri, Istiophoriformes, Xiphiidae. The record is from RefSeq and is a predicted model, not a curated record.
UUUCCCAUCAGCCUUCCCGCUAUUUAAACCGGCCUCUUUCUUCAUGCUUUGGCUUAUUUCUUUUUGUUUUGUUUUUUUUUGUCUUGAUUCUGUGCCUGUUUGCCUCCUGGCCUGCUCGUCUGCAUGCUUCAUACAAACUGUGGGCUGAAAAAUUACCUGGCCACCUGGAUCUCUCUGGAGCACCACUCACUCUCAAGCCGAACUGUGUGCGCAGUGUACUCGCUUGCCUGCAUCCAUGUCUGUAUGAAUGUGGGUGAAAUGCAUGUCAGGGUCACCUCCUUACCCGGCUCCUCCUCGGUGCAAAUGGCAACUCUCAGACCCCCUCGGUCAACUCUGACACGGGGCUGACACUGAAACAACGCGCAGCCGCCCACACGAACCGUUCAGUAACGAAGAGUCCGGCUGCUUCCGAACCCCCCAUUUGCAGUUCGGGUUGGCAUGUGUCCCGGAGAGCUGAGGCCAUCGGUUGACUUCAGAUUGAAAAAGGAACGAGCCGGGCGAACAGCGAAGCGGUUUUCGGGCUACAGGGAAACGGUCCCUGGAGUGGAGCUGUGGAGGGGGAGAGGGUUGGCUGAGGAUUCAUUAAGUUUCCUCAUCCAGC